UUUUCUUUUUUUUUUUUUUUUGCACGAGGAUUUGAUCCUAGACAUAAUCCAGUAUUAGUUUUUGCUAUCAGUAAUUGGAGUUAACUGCAGCUUUGCAAACGUUUCUUCCGUGAGCAGAGGACUCUGUAAGUAUUGAAGUUGUUACUCGUUUAGUCUUUAUUUUGAUCUCAUGUGUCGAUGCCAUUAAAAGAUAGAUUUAGACUGUCACGGCCCUUACUGUUGGAAAAACCAGUAGAGGUUUUUGGACUCUGGAGAUGAUCACCACAUGUUUUAGUCUUUGCUGCCAAUCAAUAGGUGUCUUGAUGGUAGCGAGAUUUCUAGAUAUAAAAUGAAGUGACAAUUACAGUCUGUAUCAACUAGUUAGUCAAGUGGCCUCUUAUCAUUCAGGCACCUUUAUUGACUCUGGAAGGAAACUAAAAUAAGGAUUUAAUGAAGGGAAAACAACUGCUGCCCUUGAAAAAUUCCGUCUGCUAUCUCCUCUAUUCCUGCUUUCUGUAGCAAAUUAAAUAUGAUAUGGCAUGAUCAACAUCCCUUUAAGGGCAGCUUUGCUUCCCCAUAUUUAUUCUCUCUUUCUCGCUCAUAUUGAUGUUGCUGAAGAUGCCAUUGUUAAUUUACCUCAAUAUUUGGAAAUUCUUCAAUUUUUGGCUUACGCAAAGAUCUGGAAAAACCUAAAAUUCAUAUAUCAGGGGGAUUUGUUGAUUUGAGGUGUUUAUCCUGCAUUUGUUUUAAAAUUCAUGGAGGUGGAUUUAGGUAAAAAAAUUAUGCAAGUGAUAGAAUCACCCUUUUCCAUUGUAUAAUCUCUUGGCAUUGUAGGCAUACUUACUAUAAGUAUUAAUUUUUAUUCAUUUUUGUCUUCAGGGUGCACAAAAAUUAAUCUUAAUUGUAUGAUUGGUUUGUAUUCUUUAAUUUCUGCAAAAGCAAGUCACAUUUAAUCUUUGACUAGAACAUUAUUUUAGCUUCUUUUCUUUUUCCUCUCUGUUCCAUGAUACUUCAAUAUGCAUAAUUUUUCUUGUUUUGUUAGCUAAGUUUUAUGUAAUUUCAAUAUGCAUUUCAUGAUGAUGCGGCUGAAUCAUAUGUCAGUUUUUUUCACUCUUCUCUCUGUUUUCUUUGUCCUGAGAGUAUGAGCUCCUCAUCUACUCAACUUUCUGCCUUGAGAGGAAUGGGCAUUUAUGAGCCAUUCCACCAGUUCAGCUCGUGUGGGGACACCUUCAGAGGUGAUGGUAGACUAAAUAUUAGUUCAUCCACAAUCGUGCAGGUGGAUAGUGGGGUGAACAACAAGACUGAAUAUGCAUCUCAAGAAUCAAUGGAACCUUCCAGAAUUGAUCAAGGAGCAAACAUACCGGCUGAUAAGGUACAGAGACGUUUAGCACAAAACCGUAACGCUGCUCGCAAAAGUCGCUUGCGGAAAAAGGCUUAUGUUCAACAACUAGAAUCUAGCCGUUUGAAGUUGGUGCAGUUGGAACAGGAACUUGAGAGAGCUAGGAAACAGGGUGUAUACAUAAGCAGUCCACCAGAUUCUUGUCAUUUGGGAUUGCCUGGAACUCUAAAUUCAGGAAUCACUACAUUUGAAAUAGAAUAUGGGCAUUGGAUUGAAGAGCAACAUAAACAGAUUUCUGAACUUAGGAGUGCAUUGCAAGCUCGUAUCACUGACAUAGAGCUUCGGAUACUUGUGGAAAAUGGCUUGAACCACUAUAACAACCUUUUCCGCAUGAAAGCAGAUGCUGCAAAGGCUGAUGUCUUCUAUUUGAUUUCUGGCAAGUGGAGAACAUCAGUAGAACGAUUUUUUCAAUGGAUUGGAGGAUUCCGGCCAUCAGAGCUUCUCAAUGUUCUCAUGUCACAACUUGAGCCUUUGACUGAUCAGCAACUUGUGGAUGUUUGUAACCUUCGACAAUCAUCUCAGCAAGCCGAAGAUGCUCUCUCGCAAGGAAUUGAUGAACUCCAGCAGAUCCUGGCCCGGAGCAUAGCAGCAGAUAUAACAAGUAGUGGAAGUUACCAGGCUCAGAUGGCUGCUGCAAUAGAAAAGUUGGAAGCACUGGAGGGCUUUGUAAACCAGGUACUGAUCACUUAUUGGCUAUUUCCCUCAAGUCAGAUGUGAACUUUAUUUCUCUGUAUUCUUUCAUGCUUCCUUGGUUCCUUUCUUAUGGCAUCUUUUCUUUAUUUUCUUUCUAAGUGGUGUGGAAGAAACAGAAUCCACUCAUCCAAAUGGGAUUAUGAUUAUUGUUAAAGAUAUCCUGUUAUGUUUGUUUCCAGUGAUCAUCUAAUUGCUCUGCCUGACGACCUGUAAACUGGAAAAUAGUUAGCUUCGUAACUUUUGUCCUUUGGAGGGUUAGUAUAAGAAUUUGUGUCCAUGCUUGAUAGUUAAUAUGGAAAAUUGGCAGUUAUUUAGAUUGUGCAUCCUUUGGCGCUUCUUGUUGUCUGAUACGUAUUCACUGAAUGUAUAAUACCUAAACCUUUGGGUUCCAUAAGUUUAUUUUCUCUGAUCAUUCUUUGCCUGUCAAUGGGAAAGAAGAAACAAGAGAGAGCCUGGAUGGGUUGAAGAUUCUUGACUAGUAUACUUAACGAAACUGUUAAUUAUGCAUAGCUAACAACUUUUCUCUCAAUUUCUCAGCUUUCAUUGGCUUAUGCUGUCUUGAAACAGGCAGAUCACCUUCGACAACAAACUUUGCAACAAAUGUCUCGGAUCCUAACAACACGGCAGGCAGCUCGAGGUUUACUUGCCCUGGGAGAAUAUUUUCACCGUCUCCGUGCUCUAAGUUCACUAUGGGCUGCUCGUCCUCGUGAACCCACCUAGUUUACAGACAUAAGAACCAGAAAAACCACGACAUCUAGGUUGAUUUACCACUAGCAUUCAUGCCUUGAUGCUAAAGAAUGUAUACAUAUAUAUGAUCAACUCUUUAAAUCCGCAUCUGGUUUUCCACAGCAGCUUCUAAAAAGGUGUAAAUAUGAAUGUAUGUCAGAACUCAGAAGCAAAAAAUAGGUAAAGAAGUUGAUGUUCAAUACAGCAUAGCGUUGGAGGUAAUUCCCAUUAUUAAUUUGAAAUGCAGAGUACGUUUGAAUUGAAUGGAUUAGUGGAACUCUGUGUAAACUUGUUUGUUGAGGUAAUUGCCAUCAUUCUUGAGUUUCAAUGAAGCUUAAAAUAAAACAAAA
This 3147-nucleotide unclassified non-coding RNA is filed under the name Hevea brasiliensis (rubber tree). Lineage: Eukaryota; Viridiplantae; Streptophyta; Magnoliopsida; Malpighiales; Euphorbiaceae. The record is from RNAcentral.